Molecule: ribosomal RNA, 429 nt
Filed under: Pseudomonadota bacterium
Lineage: Bacteria; Pseudomonadati; Pseudomonadota
Description: Proteobacteria bacterium partial 16S ribosomal RNA
Rfam family: Bacterial small subunit ribosomal RNA
Source: RNAcentral
UGGGGAAUAUUGGACAAUGGGCGAAAGCCUGAUCCAGCCAUGCCGCGUGUGUGAAGAAGGUCUUCGGAUUGUAAAGCACUUUAAGUUGGGAGGAAGGGCAGUAAGCGAAUACCUUGCUGUUUUGACGUUACCGACAGAAUAAGCACCGGCUAACUCUGUGCCAGCAGCCGCGGUAAUACAGAGGGUGCAAGCGUUAAUCGGAAUUACUGGGCGUAAAGCGCGCGUAGGUGGUUCGUUAAGUUGAAUGUGAAAGCCCCGGGCUCAACCUGGGAACUGCAUCCAAAACUGGCGGGCUAGAGUAGGGCAGAGGGUGGUGGAAUUUCCUGUGUAGCGAUGAAAUGCGUAGAUAUAGGAAGGAACACCAGUGGCGAAGGCGACCACCUGGGCUCAUACUGACACUGAGGUGCGAAAGCGUGGGGAGCAAACAGG